GGAUUUUUAGAAGUUUGGAUAGUUAUGUUGUGGUUUUACGUAAUUUUUUCAUUAAAUUUCUUUAUUGGGCCUUUUGUAUUGGGCUGUAGUCCAAACUGAGCAAUGAGCUAUACCAAUUUAGUGGGCUGGUAAAUUUUCUUCAAUAAUCCCUAAUCAAAAAUGGGAUAAUAAGAACAUAAGCCCAAUAUAAUGCCAUCCAUACAAACUCAGUUUAGCAGUCUGGUUUGGUAAACAGGCCAGAAAAUGACCUUUUUGUUCUUUUGGUGCUUUACUUCUUAGUCCUGUCUACCUAUUUUGCAAUAGGCCCAUAAUGUUUGUACAAUAAUCGAUAGGAGAUAAACUCAUCGGAUCCACACUCCCUUCACCGCACGCACACACAUAGAUCGGAGAAGAUGGAGGGAGAUAGAUUGAGAGAGAUAUAGGGAGAAAACGUCAUUGUUGUGGUGGAGAGAGAGAACUGGUCUGAGGAGAAAAAACAGAGAAAAACGAAAGAGGGAGAGAGAUAGAGCAUCGAGAGAGAGAGGGAUUCGAGGUCGAGAUCUGUAACAUAGAAGAAAGCGGGGUUGAUUUCGGGUUACUUGAAAACGGGUUCCGAUGGGUUUGGUAGCUGUUCCGGCGACUCCUUCGCCGGAACAUUGUCGUUCUCUCUUGACUUCUGGACGAAUCCGAUAGGGAGACGAUAAUCUCGUCGGAACAGUCCAUUUUGAACGUUUUCAAGCACCCCCAUUUAGGAAACAUUCUGCGUCUCCGGAAUCCGACUUACUUCCGUCUGUUUUGGUCACUGUUAUCUCACUGGAAUUCAAGUCGUGUGGAUUUUUUGUUUUCUACCCGAUUUUUGAAGCUUUGGGUUCGUCUAUUUUAGUGAUUCGAGAUCAAAAAUCGAACUUUGAGUUCAUUAGUCGUCGUUCUGGGUUCGUUUUUUUUUUUUUUUCAUGUCGAGGUUUGGUCCGUGUUUCUUCUUCGAAGCUGCUGUUCGGAUUUUUGGUAUUGGGUUUCGUUCGAAUUCGGUUUAAGUCGAGGUUUCGAAUCCACGAAAGCUCCUCCGUUUGACUGAAUGAAAGCGACAUUGAGCGCACAAGGUUGAGAAAUGUAUUCAUUUAAUCGGGGAAUGCCCCGAGGCCUUAUGUAUUUAUUCACCGAGGAAUGCUCCGAGGUAUCUUGUACUCGGAGGAUGCUCGUGAUUAAGGCCCGAGGUAUCGGAUAGAACCUUGGAGCAUAGUUAGGAUUAGUAUAGGCUAGAUAGGAUUCAUUUUCUCAUUUUUAUUUAUUUUGGGAUUGUAUAAUUGGACUGAACACUAUACUUUUAUUCGUUUUGUUUGGUUUGUUGGUUUGAUUGUUCUA
Molecule: long non-coding RNA, 1341 nt
Organism: Capsicum annuum
Lineage: Eukaryota; Viridiplantae; Streptophyta; Magnoliopsida; Solanales; Solanaceae
Exons: 2
Source: RefSeq, a predicted model, not a curated record